Regulatory RNA element from Geobacter sp. OR-1, 63 nucleotides. It matches the Rfam family "L20-Deltaproteobacteria ribosomal protein leader". The record is from Rfam. NCBI's taxonomy places the organism in Bacteria, Pseudomonadati, Thermodesulfobacteriota, Desulfuromonadia, Geobacterales, Geobacteraceae.
UGCCGAGAACCGUGAGGAAACGUCUCCCCUUGCGGAUCAGGUGAAAUACAAGAAAAAGAGGAG